This is a long non-coding RNA of Scylla paramamosain (green mud crab), 1019 nucleotides long. RefSeq lists it as uncharacterized. The transcript has 3 exons. The record is from RefSeq and is a predicted model, not a curated record. NCBI's taxonomy places the organism in Eukaryota, Metazoa, Arthropoda, Malacostraca, Decapoda, Portunidae.
GAAGAAAAUGAUGGCAACAUUGCAUCAACACAUUUCUAUGAAUCUGUACAAAUAACAGUCGCAACCCUGCUGGCCCAAAGUGUUUCAAAAAGCUUCCUCAAAAGAAAUCAAGUCGGAUUCUUAUGACAACAUGGCUCUUCUCUGCAUUAGUAAUUGUGGCAGCUUACCAGGGCUCCCUUAUUGCUGCUCUUACUCUACCUAGAUACCCUUUGAGACCUGAAUCUAUUGAAGAACUUGUAAAAUCUACAGAUACGUAAUUAUUUUCAUGCCAUUUUCCUAUACGUACAUAUAUUGUUACAUACUCAAUUAUUAGCAAACAGAGGUUUCUGUAAAAAGAAAAUAUUGAAUCAUUCACCAUUUAUGGCAAAUUAUUUCCACAGGGUGACAAUAAUGGCGUGGGGUGCUGACUUUGUAGACUUCUUCAGAAAUUCAGGAUCCCAGCUUUACAUGCGUCUGGGAGAUAUCAUGGUGGUUGGGGUAGAUACCAUAGAGGGCCUGCAAAAAACUCUGGAGCGAAGACAAGCUCAUUUGGAGACAAUUCACAAGAUGAAGCAAGAUAUUGCCGAACAUUUCACACGGGAAGAUGGUUCUUCACCCAUAUAUAUCGGCCGAGAGAGCAUUAUGCCUGCCCUAGCUGCCUGGCCUAUCCCUCAUGAUGCUCCUUACACUCCUCAACUUGAUUUCUGCCUUUGUGCAGUCGUAGAGGCUGGUCUGUAUAACAAGUGGACUGAAGACAUGAUGAUUUUAGCCAGAAAAGAAAGUCGUGAAAGGAAAAUAUCAAUUCAACAAAAAACAAAACAACACAUUACUGAAAUAGAAUCUAAAACAAAGCUGAUGAAUCCAACGACAGAGAAAAAGAGGUCUCUCAAUCUCACGCAGUUACUUGGGCCACUACUUUUAUUGUCUUUUGGUAUUACUGCAGGAAGUAUAGCUUUUAUCGUUGAAAUACGUUUAAACAGGUUUCACAAAACACACUAAAGUAUGAAAACACUUACUGUGCUACUUUUCUUGAUGUAUCU